UCGACUCCUACGGGGAGGCAGCAGUGGGGGAAUAUUGCACAAUGGGCGCAAGCCUGAUGCAGCCAUGCCGCGUGUGUGAAGAAGCCUUCGGGUUGUAAGCAUUCAGUCGUGAGGAAGGUAGUGUAGUUAAUAGCUGCAUUAUUUGACGUUAGCGACAGAAGAAGCACCGGCUAACUCCGUGCCAGCAGCCGCGGUAAUACGGAGGGUGCGAGCGUUAAUCGGAAUUACUGGGCGUAAAGCGCAUGCAGGUGGUUUGUUAAGUCAGAUGUGAAAGCCCGGGGCGUCAACCUCGGAAUUGCAUUUGAAACUAGGCAGACUAGAGUACUGUAGAGGGGGGUAGGAAUUUCAGGUGUAGCGGUGAAAUAGCGUAGAGAUCUGAAGGAAUACCGGUGGCGAAGGCGGCCCCCUCGGACAGAUACUGACACUCAGAUGCGAAAGCGUGGGGAGCAAACAGGAUUAGAUACCCUGGUAG
Molecule: ribosomal RNA, 472 nt
Filed under: uncultured bacterium
Lineage: Bacteria
Description: bacterial SSU rRNA
Rfam family: Bacterial small subunit ribosomal RNA
Source: RNAcentral